RNAcentral lists this ribosomal RNA (406 nucleotides) under uncultured bacterium. Its description in RNAcentral is "partial 16S ribosomal RNA". It matches the Rfam family "Bacterial small subunit ribosomal RNA", at positions 30 to 526 of the family's 1533-position model. The record is from RNAcentral.
AUUGAACGCUGGCGGCAGGCCUAACACAUGCAAGUCGGACGAGUGGCGGACGUGUGAGUAAUGUCUUGAAAACUGCCCGAUGGAGGGGGAUAACGACGGGAAACGGUAGCUAAGACCGCAUACCAUCAGAUGUGACCAGAUGGGAUUGGCUAGUGGGUGGGUUAAUGGCUAACCUGGGCAACGAUCCCUAGCUGGUCUGAGAGGAUGACCAGCCACACUGGAACGUAGAAAGGGUCAAGACUCCUACGGAAGGAAGCAGUGGGGAAUAUUGGACAAUGGGCGAAAGCUUGAUGCAGCCAUGCCGGGUGUAUGAAGAAGGCCUUCGGGUGGUAAAGUACUUUCAGCGGGGAGGCGUUACCCGCAGAAGAAGCACCGGCUAACUCCGUGCCAGCAGCCGCGGUAAUAC